This 31-nucleotide non-coding RNA is filed under the name Mus musculus (house mouse). The record is from RNAcentral. Lineage: Eukaryota; Metazoa; Chordata; Mammalia; Rodentia; Muridae.
UNGAACUGGUGCCAACCAUGACCAUAAAAGC